Molecule: ribosomal RNA, 409 nt
Filed under: Verrucomicrobiota bacterium
Lineage: Bacteria; Pseudomonadati; Verrucomicrobiota
Description: Verrucomicrobia bacterium partial 16S ribosomal RNA
Rfam family: Bacterial small subunit ribosomal RNA
Source: RNAcentral
UGGGGAAUAUUGCACAAUGGGCGGAAGCCUGAUGCAGCGACGCCGCGUGAGGGAUGACGGCCUUCGGGUUGUAAACCUCUUUCAGUAGGGACGAAGCGUAAGUGACGGUACCUGCAGAAGAAGCACCGGCUAACUACGUGCCAGCAGCCGCGGUAAUACGGAAGGUUCGGGCGUUAUCCGGAUUUAUUGGGUUUAAAGGGAGUGUAGGCGGUUGGUUAAGCGUGUUGUGAAAUGUAGAUGCUCAACAUCUGACUUGCAGCGCGAACUGGCUGACUUGAGUACACACAACGUAGGCGGAAUUCAUGGUGUAGCGGUGAAAUGCUUAGAUAUCAUGAAGAACUCCGAUUGCGAAGGCAGCUUACGGGAGUGUUACUGACGCUUAAGCUCGAAGGUGCGGGUAUCGAACAGG